This 21-nucleotide microRNA is filed under the name Canis lupus familiaris (dog). RNAcentral describes it as "cfa-miR-8901". Lineage: Eukaryota; Metazoa; Chordata; Mammalia; Carnivora; Canidae. The record is from miRBase by way of RNAcentral.
UCACCCAGACCUGGUGACUGU